ACGAGUUUGAUCCUGGCUCAGGACGAACGCUGGCGGCGUGCUUAACACAUGCAAGUCGAACGGUGACGGAGGAGCUUGCUCCUCCUGAUCAGUGGCGAACGGGUGAGUAACACGUGAGUAACCUGCCCCAGACUCUGGAAUAACAGUUGGAAACAGCUGCUAAUACCGGAUACGAGACGGAGAGGCAUCUCUACCGUCUGGAAAGUUUUUCGGUCUGGGAUGGACUCGCGGCCUAUCAGCUUGUUGGUGAGGUAAUGGCUCACCAAGGCGACGACGGGUAGCCGGCCUGAGAGGGCGACCGGCCACACUGGGACUGAGACACGGCCCAGACUCCUACGGGAGGCAGCAGUGGGGAAUAUUGCACAAUGGGCGAAAGCCUGAUGCAGCAACGCCGCGUGAGGGAUGACGGCCUUCGGGUUGUAAACCUCUUUCAGUAGGGAAGAAGCGCAAGUGACGGUACCUACAGAAGAAGCACCGGCUAACUACGUG
Molecule: ribosomal RNA, 489 nt
Filed under: uncultured bacterium
Lineage: Bacteria
Description: bacterial SSU rRNA
Rfam family: Bacterial small subunit ribosomal RNA
Source: RNAcentral